This is a long non-coding RNA of Teleopsis dalmanni, 1005 nucleotides long. RefSeq lists it as uncharacterized. The record is from RefSeq and is a predicted model, not a curated record. Lineage: Eukaryota; Metazoa; Arthropoda; Insecta; Diptera; Diopsidae. The transcript is spliced from 6 exons.
UCUAAAAAUUUCAGUUCGAUAAAUUUGUAAGAAAAAUAUAUAUAUAUGUUUAUUUUAACAAAAAUUGGCAAUAGGGAUGUAUACAGACCCUUUAAUACACGCUUUAGAAUGUUGUUUGUAAAUAAAUAAUGGAACUUGUUUGUAUAUAUUAUAUAAAAAUAUGUGAAUCUAUUAAGGUCACAGUUAAACGUAACGCUUAGUAAGGAAAAAAGUCUUGGCAACGUUGGUGUGUAUAUGUGUAUGUUAGGUAUUUAAAUAUAGAAAAAUGACAAUUGUGUAAAUCACUGAUAAUUCUUUUGAGAGACAACUACCAAACUUUUAUUAAAAAAUACCCUUUACUUGUAAUGAAAAUUUUCAAAAUUAUGUAUAUGAGUUAUUUGUGGAAGAUCCCAUUUUGACCUGGUGCGGUGUGAGUUGUUGUUUGUACUUGGAGGAAACGGUUAUGUUAAAGAUUACAGGAAAUUCACUGAAAAAGAGGCCAACGCGAGAUGCUAUUGAAAUUUGAGUUUUAGGUAACUCAAAUUAUUUCAGAUGGUUUUUGGAUCAGUAGUUACUAGGAAAUUUAGAACUACCAGCAGCGCCAGCUAUUUUUUUAUUUCUGAUGGUUUUUUGGAUGAGUAUUUACUGGGAAAACUACAUUUAGCAUCCGAAAUUAUUUGUCUUGUUUUUGUUUAAGGAAAACAAGUCUUGAAUUUUUGACUCCAUUGUCGCUGACAAAACCGAUUACGAUUUGUACCAACUGGUGACAAGAAUGUGAGCAAACAUGUGAUGCCUUAUUGUUGCUAGUGAAAACUGUAUAGAUACUUUUCACUGCGAUUUGUCGGAAAUCAAGUAGUCGUCACUAAACAGCAUGAUUGGAGGAAAAUAGCUGACGUGAUAUUCCAAGUACAAGUACAUUUUUCUCGGAUAUUAUUUUACGUAUUUAGCAAGCAAUUAUUAUAAAUGUUAAGAUAUAUUUUAAAUUGUAUGCGUUAUUUUAAUUAAUUUUUUAAAGUAAAAACUAAA